Megalobrama amblycephala (Wuchang bream) is the source of this 4416-nucleotide RNA transcript. It is a transcript of the gene named calcium responsive transcription factor, with no coding region annotated. The transcript is spliced from 15 exons. The record is from RefSeq and is a predicted model, not a curated record. Lineage: Eukaryota; Metazoa; Chordata; Actinopteri; Cypriniformes; Xenocyprididae.
ACAGGUCAAAGUGAAGGAGAGAGCGUGUUCUACGGAAGCCGCGAGGAUUCAAACUGCAGGCGGAUGAUGAUGCGCAGCUUACGCGUUUUUCGGCGUGAGGAAUCCCGGACGAAGACGAGACUGCUGUGAUGUCUGAUAGAAUACAUGGAGGAGGAAGAGAGAGAUGUGAAGUGUGCUCUUCAGGCUGAAGAGAGAGAGGAUGCACAGCCGGCCAACACACGAGCUGGACUGCAACCUGACAAAACCUCAAAAGCUAAAGAAAAUGCAGAUGCACAAGUGCUUCCAUCAGUCAUUCCAGCCCCAGAAACUGUAGCAGCCAAUCAGAAGCCCUCUACAGUCCCGGAACAAGCGGACAACUUAGUUAUACUUGACCAAAAUGGACAUCCUAUUCAGUAUGAGCAGGUGGUGAUCGUGAAAGGGGAGAAUGGACAGCUGUACGGUGUCCCAUCUGUGUCUAUAGGGGGCUCUCAGAUGUUACUACCUCAUGGUCAGCUGUUGAAUGUAGUAAACUCAUCAGGUAUCUUUUUGGAGAAAAGACAGCAGACAACCAUCACAUCCAUAAAAGACAAUGAUGGCACUCAUACUUUAUCUGCACUAGCGCCUCAGAAUGUCACUGGUAUUAAAAUUCAGAAAAAAAGUUCUCCUGAUAUAUUUGAGCCCCCAGUGAAGCCACUGCCACCAGGGGCACCAAACUGGGCUCUAAGAUUGCGUGGAUGUGAGAAGAUCGGAGACUCGUACCGGGGUUACUGUAACACAGAGGCAGAGCUGGAGGCCGUUCUGCUUCUACACAAGCAGCAGACUCACGCUGUGUUUGGCACCCGUCAAUCACCCUCACCGGCUAAACCAGCCACCAGACUCAUGUGGAAAUCACAGUAUGUGCCCUACGAUGGCGUUCCCUUUGUUAAUGCAGGAAGCCGAGCCAUUGUGAUGGAAUGCCAGUUUGGUCCACGGAGGAAGGGCGUUCAACCAAAAAAAGGGUCUGAACAAGAAACAAAUCAAAACAUCUUCUACAAAGCAACCUGCCCUGCCAGAAUAUAUAUCAAAAAAGUUCGAAAGUUCCUGGAGUACAAGGUUCCAACAGAUCCCAAAGUGGACAAGAAGGUAGUGCGGCAAGAGCAGGAGAAAGCCUUCUUCAACCUCAAGAAAAGUUUAUGGGAUGUUGGAGGCGUUGUAAGGUAUUACAUCCAGCUCCCUACUGAGAAAGCCCACCUGUACCAUGACGUGGACACUGCAAACCUACCUCCACUUCCGGAGCAGAUCUGCUUUGCAGAGGAAGAGCAAAAUGAAGAGGAAGAGACAGAGGAGCUAGGCAGUGAAUCCAUGCAGGAUGUCAUGAUGGAGGAUGGGGCGUCCUUACCCUCUCGACUACACCCACUCGUGGCGGAGAAGAUCUGCGAGUUGGUGGCACAAGGUCAUAGCCAGGUUUACACCGUCCGCAAGCAGCUCAGGUAUGACUCAGAUGGUUUCAAUUCUCCUUUGUUUCAUUUGCUGAAAAACUAUUUACUGUUGCUUUCUGAACACCCUGACAGGAGGUUUGUGGAACAUGAGAUGUUCGGGUCGGAGGAAGUGCCAGAGAGACACAAUCUGUGUUACUUUCCCACUGUCAAUGACAUCAAGAACCACAUCCAUGAGGCUCAGAAAGCUCUUCAGCUGACAGCAGGACCACUCGCUACCUCAGAUACAGAGUGGAAAGCAGAGGCUAAUAACCUGCUUCCAGAGACUUUGACCUUGACCCUGACUCCUGCUACUGUGGACGUGUCCUCUCAGAAGGAAGGACUCUUGGAAGAGAGUGACACUCUUUCUCCAGAGGCUGUGCAGCUCUUCAGCUCUCUCACCUCACUGCAGCCCAAGAUCUUUGCACAUCUCCAGGCAAUCCAGCUACAGCCAGCCUUGUGUCCAGUUGAAGACUCUGCCCAACCUACAACAACACCACCAGAAGCCCAAGAGCUGUCCAGUCCUGCACCUCCACAGCCUGUUCUGCUGAGUCCGUCCCAGUUCCUCCAGUCGAGUGGCAGUGGUGGUGAAAGCAUAUCUCUGUGUGACCCCCCGACCCUGCUCGGCAUGAGUCAGCUGGUGAGUGUGACUAACGUCGGAGCUGAAGGUGGCAUCACACAGAUCCUGCUGGAGGACGGACAGGCCAUUCCAGUCCAGAUUGUGGACCCUUCAAGCAUAGCUUUGACUUCCCCAGCAGAUGACACUUCAGUUAAAUAGGACAUUGGGAAAUCUAUGGAUGUGUCAGCAGAGCCAGACAGAGGCUGGAAAUACAACAAUGACAAAAGAAAAGAAACGGCCUUGUCUGUGACAGAACAGCGUUUGACGAUUGAGCUCUUAGAUCAAUGGAGGACUGAUUCAUUGUAUCAAGAACAUCAGGUCAAUCUGCUGCUGUCCAGAAUCAGGUGGUCUGUCUUCGUCUGGCAUCUCCGCUGAGACCUGUCCACUAUGGGUGACCCUACCAGUAGUUGUGAAGUACCAGUGGCGUAGCUCUCAGCAUCACUGAUGCACACAAGCCCUCACAGCACGUCAAGCUGCAAACCGUGUGAGGGACCCUAACCUACCCUAACCGCAUAUCAACCAGCCACUCAAAACGUCCUAACAACCAUAGAGCAACGCACGAAAAACCUCUCAGAAGAGUCCAGCAACCGCAAAGAAACACACUAACAACCGCACAAAAAACCUUGUCAACACACAGGAAACCACCCAAAACAUCCCAACAACCUCGUAGCAAAAACACUUAGAACAUCCUGGGAACCGAAUAUCAAUGCACCAACAAUCACCAAAAACAUCCUAACAACCAGACAGCAAUGUGCAAAAGACUUACUCCAGAAAAUAAAACUUACUAUAUAAAAUAAAACUUAUUAUAGAAAAUGAAACUUACUAUAUAAAACUAUAAACUUACUCUCUGACUAUAUACAGUAUUUACAUGCGUCAGUCCCGCUGUGUGAUCCUCUGGCUCCAUGUGACGCUGUGAUGACUCAGUAUCUGGGCUUCUUUCUUCGGGGUUCCUCAGGCAGGGGCUCUUCACUGAUGUCCACGUGGAUUCGAGGAGCAAAGCUUCUGCUGGUUGUGAAGAAGCUCUCAGUGAUCAGGACACGUCCAUCAGGCUGCUCCGUCUCCACCAGUGAAGGGCGCUUGAGUGUCUCCCACAGCCGCUGCUUGAUCUUCAGUCCCAGCUCAAGACUAGGGACGGCGGCGACCGCAGCGUGUCUUCAUCAUGGGCUCCACCACAGAGCUGUAGAUGUCCUGGUAGUCCUGCACGCUGCAGCCGUGGAUGGAGACCGGCUCUUCUUGCUGACACACGUCCACUGAAGACACUGAGGCUGCUGGACGGAUGUCAGGAAGGACAGCAGCGUUCUUCAGGUAGCGCUCCUCCAAACCUGUGGGUCUUUGAGCUUUCCCAGAGAUACAGCUGUAAGUGUGAUCCAACCUGAUUACAGCUGCCAGCUGUGAAAGCUCACAGGGGUCUGGACUGGAAGAGACGCCCUCCACCAAGAAUCCCCUCAGGUGUGUGGGAAGAGCCCUGGAUCUUCUCGGGCGACGCUGCUCCAUAAAGAUGAAUCAAGAAUAACUUUGAUGAAAUGUUUGAAGUUGUAUAGAUGUGAUGAGCUUGUAGCUUCAAGGCUUCAGAUACAGUUGUUUUGAUUUCAAAUAUCAACUCAAGCUGCUGGACUGACAGAGAAUGUUGAGGCUCAUUUAAAUGUAAACAACACUUGAUAUCAUCAGUAAGUCCAUUAGAGCAGCUGUACUGUAUGCUUCUAUAUUAUCAUUAUCAUCUUCAUUCACAGUUUAUAUAUGCAUGUAUAUAUAUAUAUAUAUAUAUAUAUAUAUAUAUAUAUAUAUAUAUAUAUAUUCCUCAUCUUUGUGUGCAUGUAGUGGUGUCUGUUAAGGCCAGCAUCAUAAUUAGGAACUGCUCUAUAUUAGUGGUUCAUGAAUGAAUUUGUGUGUUGAAUGAAUCUUAAGUGAACGAAUCAUUCUUGCACUGACUCGUAUCUUUUGUUCAUUGAAGUCUCCUCUUUUUGAAGUGCUCAUCUGCUUAACAAGCCGGUAGUAUUGGAGAGCGGCCUGUGUAAAUCUUGUUGGUGAAUGAAUAUUCAGAUGAACAUACAUAUUUUUGUUUACAUUUUUAUUUAUUCUUGCCUUUUUUUCUAGCUUGUUAAAUGUCCAGUAGCUGACCAAAUAAAGCAAAAACAACAGAUCUGCUCAAAUUAUCAAAUUAAUUCUGUUUUUAACCCGUGUCUUGAUUUUGUAAUUGAAGACACCAAAGACAAAAAGAAACUUGAAGUUGUGAACAAGAAACAUUGAGCAGGUGAAAAGAAGAACGCAAAGACACAUUGUAUGUUUUGGCAAAAUGUAUAGUCAUUGUCAAUCUAAUGCCAUUUGACUUGAUUUUUCUAUCUCAAAAUAAAAUCAACAAAUUAA